GGGUUACUGCCGAGUUUUAAAUAAGGAAACUGAGGCCAGUAUAAGAAAAUUAAAUGCCAAUUUAUUUAGCUCCUGGAUGAGGUUCCAUGGUCCUGGGGAAAGGAGCCAGGGAACUCGGGCCUUCCAGGC
Sapajus apella (tufted capuchin) is the source of this 129-nucleotide long non-coding RNA. RefSeq lists it as uncharacterized. The record is from RefSeq and is a predicted model, not a curated record. The transcript is spliced from 3 exons. NCBI's taxonomy places the organism in Eukaryota, Metazoa, Chordata, Mammalia, Primates, Cebidae.